GUCACAUUGGUUUCCAUACAACACCCAGUGCUCUGUCGAAGAGGACGACCUUCCCCGAUAGAGGAGGACCGUUCUUUGGUCAAGGGUAUAUGAGUAGUUGCGCUCCCCUGCUAGAACCUCCAAACAAGCUCUCAAAGUUUAGAUUUAGAAACACAGAUUGUGCUUACAUGUCUUGGAUGAGAAUUAAUGAAGCAUAUGAUUGCAUAUAGUCAUUUUAUU
This 219-nucleotide small nuclear RNA is filed under the name Felis catus (domestic cat). RNAcentral's name for it is "7SK RNA". It matches the Rfam family "7SK RNA". Rfam says of the family: 7SK was discovered as an abundant small nuclear RNA in the mid-70s but a possible function has only recently been suggested. The record is from Rfam by way of RNAcentral. Lineage: Eukaryota; Metazoa; Chordata; Mammalia; Carnivora; Felidae.